UGCUUAACACAUGCAAGUCGAACGGCAGCAUGGUCUAGCUUGCUAGACUGAUGGCGAGUGGCGAACGGGUGAGUAACGCGUAGGAAUAUACCUUAGAGAGGGGGAUAACCUGGGGAAACUCAGGCUAAUACCGCAUACGUUCUAUGGAAUAAAGCUGGGGACCYUUAGGCCUGGCGCUUUAAGAAUAGCCUGCGUCCGAUUAGCUAGUUGGUGGGGUAAGGGCCUACCAAGGCGACGAUCGGUAGCUGGUCUGAGAGGAUGAUCAGCCACACUGGGACUGAGACACGGCCCAGACUCCUACGGGAGGCAGCAGUGGGGAAUAUUGGACAAUGGGGGCAACCCUGAUCCAGCAAUGCCGCGUGUGUGAAGAAGGCCUGAGGGUUGUAAAGCACUUUCAGUGGGGAGGAGGAUUGAUAGGUUAAGAGCUAAUUGAUUGGACGUUACCCACAGAAGAAGCACCGGCUAACUCCGUGCCAGCAGCCGCGGUAAUACGGAGGGUGCGAGCGUUAAUCGGAAUUACUGGG
This 524-nucleotide ribosomal RNA is filed under the name Legionella adelaidensis. RNAcentral's name for it is "bacterial SSU rRNA". It matches the Rfam family "Bacterial small subunit ribosomal RNA", at positions 45 to 558 of the family's 1533-position model. The record is from RNAcentral. Lineage: Bacteria; Pseudomonadati; Pseudomonadota; Gammaproteobacteria; Legionellales; Legionellaceae.